GCAUUGGUGGUUCAGUGGUAGAAUUUUUUGCCUUUCUUGCAGAAGACCUGUGUUCGAUUCCCAGCCAAUGCA
This 72-nucleotide transfer RNA is filed under the name Procavia capensis (Cape rock hyrax). Its description in RNAcentral is "tRNA-Glu (TTC) (tRNA-Glu-TTC-7-1)". It matches the Rfam family "tRNA". From Rfam's summary of the family: Transfer RNA (tRNA) molecules are approximately 80 nucleotides in length. Lineage: Eukaryota; Metazoa; Chordata; Mammalia; Hyracoidea; Procaviidae. The record is from RNAcentral.